This 497-nucleotide ribosomal RNA is filed under the name uncultured bacterium. Its description in RNAcentral is "partial 16S ribosomal RNA". It matches the Rfam family "Bacterial small subunit ribosomal RNA", at positions 28 to 507 of the family's 1533-position model. The record is from RNAcentral.
GAUGAACGCUGGCGGCGUGCCUAAUACAUGCAAGUCGAGCGAACAGACGAGGAGCUUGCGCCUCUCACGUUAGCGGCGGACGGGUGAGUAACACGUGGAUAACCUACCUAUAAGACUGGGAUAACUUCGGGAAACCGGAGCUAAUACCGGAUAAUAUAUUGAACCGCAUGGUUCAAUAGUGAAAGACGGUUUUGCUGUCACUUAUAGAUGGAUCCGCGCCGCUUUAGCUAGUUGGUAAGGUAACGGCUUACCAAGGCAACGAUGCGUAGCCGACCGGAGAGGGUGAUAGGCGACACUGGAACGGAGACACGGUCAAGACUCCUACGGGAGGCAGCAGUAGGGAAUCUUCCGCAAUGGGCGAAAGCCUGACGGAGCAACGCCGCGUGAGUGAUGAAGGUCUUCGGAUCGUAAAACUCUGUUAUUAGGGAAGAACAACUGUGUAAGUAACUAUGCACGUCUUGACGGUACCUAAUCAGAAAGCCCCGGCUAACUACGUG